UUCAUAGGCACCAUUGCUAGGAAGCCACACUUAUGCUCAAUUAAGUACAAGAAUUGGCAUGAAGUGCCAGAUCAGUAUAAAGAAGAUUGUUGGAAUAUUAUCGAGUCCAAGUUUGCCAUUCCUCAAGAUGAGAGAAGGGAUAUGAUUAGGCAUCGAACAUUGAAGUCAAUGGGAGAGAAAUGGAGAAAUUGGAAAUGUAGUUUAAAAGCAA
Camellia sinensis is the source of this 211-nucleotide non-coding RNA. The record is from RefSeq and is a predicted model, not a curated record. Lineage: Eukaryota; Viridiplantae; Streptophyta; Magnoliopsida; Ericales; Theaceae.